CUUUCUGUCCUUGGCGCUGUUUGCGUGAUCUUGAGGGCCUCUUUGGAAUCUCAGGGAUGCCCUUCCACAGACGUAUAUAGCCCAGAGACUGAUCAGUGGACCAUCUUGGCAUCCAUGCCAAUUGGCAGGAGUAGCCAUGGUGUGACUGCACUGCACAGAAAAAUAAUAGUUCUUGGAGGCCUUUGUUAUAAUAGUUAUCUCAGGGAUUCCAUUCUUGCUUUUGAUCUGGAUGAAAACAAAUGGAAGAAAGAUGAGUGCCCUCGGAUGCCCUGCAAGCUGGAUGCAACCUGCAUUUUCUGGACCAUGUACAGGGCAAAGUCAGAUGCUGUAACUAA
This 335-nucleotide long non-coding RNA is filed under the name Homo sapiens (human). RNAcentral describes it as "non-protein coding lnc-IER5L-4:1". Lineage: Eukaryota; Metazoa; Chordata; Mammalia; Primates; Hominidae. The record is from RNAcentral.